This 64-nucleotide transfer RNA is filed under the name Pseudagkistrodon rudis (Red keelback). RNAcentral describes it as "tRNA-Tyr". Lineage: Eukaryota; Metazoa; Chordata; Lepidosauria; Squamata; Natricidae. The record is from RNAcentral.
GGUAGUAUGGCUGACUAAGCGGUAAUCUGUAAAAUUAUUCAUAGGGCAUUUGUCCUUACUAUCA